Molecule: long non-coding RNA, 4119 nt
Organism: Myiozetetes cayanensis
Lineage: Eukaryota; Metazoa; Chordata; Aves; Passeriformes; Tyrannidae
Exons: 7
Source: RefSeq, a predicted model, not a curated record
GUGGUGUCGCCCCACGGCCUCCUGAGAGCCACCGGGCGGUGCCGGUGGGAGCCGCGCUGGCGGCUGCUGAGCAGCGGGCGCGGGGGGCACAGCGGAGCCUGGGCGAGGCUCUGCUGGAGCUGCCGGCUGUGCUGCAGCGGGAGGUCCCUGUGCGUGGGGCCGCCGGCCGGGUCCGGAGCGGCAGGAACGAGCGUGUCGCUCGCUGCCCGUGGUGGGAACUGGGGAGCUCCGGGUCCAGCCUCCCGUCAGGCGUGCCCACCUCUCGGGGAACCCUGGCAGCCCCUCGGGAGAACGGGGAAGGUGUGGAGGCCGCAGGUGUUCAGCGUCUCCAACCGACGGUUGGGGAGAGAAAAACAAGUGGGGUUAUAAACGUUUUGAGCCCAAGUGAGUUCUCCGGGGAGAUGUCGAAAGUGAAUAACAGGGCUGAGAAUUAAACUAGAAAAGAAAAACCUGCUUUAAGUUCUCCCCUUCCUAUGCAGUAGAUCUUCCCCCACCUGCCCAAUGAUAAAUACCCAUGCAUAAGCCGUGUGUCAUUCUAUAACCCCUUUGUGUGGUUUUUUGAGCUGUAUUUUGACACAUUCCCCACCCCUCUGUUGGGCAUCUCGGUGGAUUGACUGGCCAGCUGUGUCCCAAGCUGUCAGGUUCUUUGAGCCUGCCAUAAAUAAGGGCAUAAACCUGCUUCGCUUUUGCUACCGUUUGCUGCCAGAAACAGUGCUGCGAAAGAAACGGAGAAGCUUAUGUAUCACUACAGUGGCAGACCAGAGAUGGUGCAGAGCCUAGAGGGUUAAAGCAACAGGAUGAAGUCAGCACAAAGCAGCCCACAAAGACUGGCAAAUAAAUAAAUCAUCCUAACUACGUUAUUAUUAUGGCUUGCCUGAGGUUCAUUGUCUCUUUCUUUCUUACCUGAAUGUCUGUUACAUUUUUCUCCUUGUUCAAGAGAGGCAAUCAAAGGAGACUGUGAGCACUAAAUGGCUCCUGCCCAUUUUGGAUGUUGCUAAAAAUACUACCUUACCUCUCCAUAUCCAGAGGUCAAUUGAAAAAUCAAAAUAAUGAGUUCAGCACCCUCCUCUGCACUGAUGGCUGUAGCUGAGCUACAGGCUUCCCCAGGCACUUGGAAAUUGCAUUUCUUGAUACAGCUUUAUAAGACUGGCAGAUGUGUUCUGCACAGUUCUGUCCUCUUCUAGCUCUAAGGCAGAUAAAACUAGCUGUGGUGCAGCUAAAGGAGAUGUGUUUAAUGCAUUGCAGUUUGGGUACAUGUCUGUACCUGCCUCUGCUUGUCUUGAGGAAAGGUACCACUGCAGCCCAUUACCCACACAGAACCUUUACAGUCCUAGAUAAGAUGAAAGAGUGGAAAGGUAUUUCAUGAACAAGGGCACAAUGUCUACAUGCAAAGAAAAGACAAACCAAAGCAUAAAUCCUGGAAUUGAUGGAGAAUCUGACCAAUUAAAAGACUUUGAUCAGGAACGAGAGAGUAGAAGGGAAAAAACAGAGCAGGGCAGUUCUCAGUGCCUUUCACAUUCAAGCCCCCAAGUCCUGGCAGUGCCUGUUAAACUGCAAGCCAUGCACUGAGAAUGGUUCACCAGGAGACCAGAAAAGGCCCACAGCUGGUCUGUGAGACUACAGUUAGGAGUAUGAGAUGUCCUUGACAGCAUAUAUAAGGAAUACUUGCUCUACAGGUCACUGCAGAAGGACUUGUAAUGGCACUGGAGGGUGGGAGGUUUAAAUCAAGCUCAGCUAGAAUCACCUCUCCCUGUGAUCUGCUCCGGACUAAGGUAGUAGAGACAAGACUUUUAUUGUAUAAUGGGGAUGACACAAGUGCUCAUACUUCCCUGUUGUAUGCAGGGGAAAAUGCAGAGGUGGACCAGUGAAGAAUUCAAUCACAUCAUAGUACAUUUUCAGAAACAGUUGAGGUAGCCAUUUGGGAUCUUCUAGAAAUCUUCCUUUAGGACUUGCCCAGCCCUGCACUAAGUUGAUGAGCCACACUCUUCCAUCCUUUUUGUUUCUCUGCCCAACUCCCUUCGUCUCUUUUCGUUUUUGUACUCUUUUCGUUUUUGCACUCUUUUCAUUUUAUGUACUCUUUCCUUCUGUUUAGCUUUGUUUCCCAGGCACCUUUUCCAUGCUUUCUGCCAACCAAACCAAACCAAACCUAACUGAACUCCAAGAACAUCCCGUGGAAUUAAUGAAUCAGAUGAUGAAUUUGCAGUUUGUACUGUUGUUGACUAAAGUAAAUACAAUGAUGUGAGAAAAAGCAACGAAUAUAAUAUAUAUCUCAGACCUGUGUUACAUGGGACUGUUUUUUAUCAUUCUCUCGCAAGCUCCAAGCAGGACAGGGCACACUUAAGUGUUCUCCUGAACUUCGGAUGUUUGAUGGCAGGUUUGCAAGAUUCAAAACGUUUGAUUUGUUGGGCAGUGCCUUUUGGAAAUGGAAAACGCGGAAGAAAACACAUAAGAAAAAAUAGUGUUGCCUCUGAAGACUUGAAUGGAAUAUAAAUUGUCUUUCAUGGCCAAUAUAAAUCUAUGAGGGCUAUGCCUCUACAGGAUAAUGAUAGAGAUGCUUACAAGGACAAUAAUUCAAGUUUCUAUUUUUGCUGGAUGGCUGUCUUCCUUUAAUUGUACCUGACUCAUAAAAUAAGCUAUGUGGUCUUUUACUACUGAGUUUUGUAGUCUCUCACUGCUAACUUAUAUAGUCAUUCCAGAGUCCUGUCUGUAGUGUGAUGUAUACUUAUCAAAUCUGCAAUCAGGCACAACUUGUAUAAUGAUCUGAAGCACUGUGGCACAACUGAUUUUUUACAUCAGCAUUACAGCCUAUCUGACAGAGACAACUGCAUAUUUCUGAUGUAUUUUUGGGGACACUCUCUCCUUAUGUGUUGUCAGAACUGCUUUAUCUGUGAAACACCUUUCUCUCCCCUAGCAGCUUGAAAAUCCUUAAGGCGUAUUACCAUUAGAAGAGGGGACUUGCACAUAAUGUGAUGACAACAUCCAUUAGCUCUUCUUCAGAAAAAAAAAAAACAACUAAACAAAAAAAUCCCCAUACUGUAGGUAAUACGGCACUGAAGAUCUUUCAGGAAAUUCUUUACCAAAAAUUAUCUGCCAGAUGGUUUAUGCUACAGGGAAACAAAUGGUAGGGAAAGAAUAAGGCAAGAAUUAAUAAAGCAUAAAUCCCCAAAUCCUGAAAAUGUAAAUCCAGUAUCUACUUGAGCUAUGUGAGGGGAGCAAACCACAUUCUGUUUCACUAUUAUCUCUUCUGAAAACAUUCUCUGCUAAAGGUGAGAAGAAAAACUUGCCUGUAUGUCUAUUGGACCAUACCAUUUGAUUUAUUUAUAAAUUUGUCACUCUUUUACUUGUACCCACUCAUAUUUGUAGUUCUUUGGUGGCUGACAAGCAAUAACCAGAACGCAUACUUGUCAGCACAGCUAACCUACUCCAACUUGAAAUCUUGGCUAAUGGCUAAGGUGGGUUCUUAACUAAGUUUUCCUACCUUCUGUUCAGUUUUUACAUCAAAUACUGCAUAUUGCAUCCAGAUUUUGAUAAUGUAAGACACUACUUCAGCCAAAUGGCCUCUAUGGGUGAGGCAGAAACAUUUUUUAUUUUCUAGGGCAAUUAAUUAGACAUCUGCACUGUCACUCCCACACUUAAAUUAAUCUCCAUAUGUUCAGUUAUCAUACAGGGGAAAAAAAAAGAAAAAGAAGAAACUGAAAUGAAAAAUCAUAGUCACAGAUAUGCAAUGUAUUUUUCAGACACCUAAAUUUCUGUCAGCCUGUUGGGAAUUCAUAACCUCUUUAUUACAUACUUAACUAACCAACACACCUCAUAAUUUCCACACAAACAAUGGCCCUGUUGCUUCUCAUCAUGUAUUUAAAAUAGAGGGUGAAAAAACCAGAAGUCUCACUUAUGAGAUUUUAGUACUUUUAUUACAUGCAGCUUAGGAUAGUUACUAUUUACCCGUGAAAUACUACUUCUAAUUUAAACAUCACUUCUCAAAUUACUUGUUUUGUGAUAUAUUGUCUUUGGUUAAUUUAAUUCUUGUUUCAUUUCCUUGUUAAUUUGGAAAGCAAAAUCUGUAUGUUCUUGCUAAUUUUUCCAAAUUGCCAAAAAAAAAAAAAAAAAAAAAAAAGAAAA